CGGUUAACUCAGUAGCGUGCGGGACUUCGAAGGGGGAGGACGUGUUGCCCUCGCUCCCGCCUCUUAUAUAGUGCCUCUUUGACCUCCCCAGUGCCGUGUGACCUGACCUCGGAGGCUGGCUGGGCCCUGAAUGUCCCUGCCGGAGGAGACGUGGGGCAUUGGGGCAUUCGGCCAGCCUUUUAACCCCUAAACUGACCCUUACGACCAUCACCUCCUCCUCCUCCUCCUCUUUAUCUUCUUCCUCCUCCUCUUCCUCUUCUUCUUCUUUUGAGCCGUCGUUGGUCAAAUAUUAAGGAUGUGCCCCUAGCAAUGGUCUCAGGCCCCCACAGCAUGGCCGAGGCGCGUCCGGACACCCCUAAGAAGUACACGUGUGCCUGCGGUCUGGCCCAGGAGGAUAAAAAGUGCAAGUUUUUAGGGAAGUGUCGGAACUGCCACACCAGAGCUAAGUACUUACGCGGACAAAGUAGCUUCGAUGCUGGGCUACUGUCGCGUGGGUGGAGUGGAGGUGGAGGAGGUGGAGGAGGUGGAGGAAACGGAGGAAAUGGAGGAGGACUAGGAAGCUCGGGUAGCUCUCCAUACUCCUCCACAGCGGCAAGUGCGAACAACAGUGACGAUGGAGGAGGUGGAAGUGGAGGAAGUGGAGGAAGUGGAUCAAGUACCUCCUCAAAUCCUCCCACUAUAACCUCCACUACUACUACUACUACUACUACUGUCUCCUCCUCCUCUACUACUACUACUACUACUACAUCUGCUGCCAGUGGAGGAGGAGGAGGAGGAGGAGGAGGAAGAGGAGGAGGAGGACAGCCCCGGAGAAGAUCGCGCAGCAUGGAUCGCUUUGAUGCCUACAGGA
This is a long non-coding RNA of Eriocheir sinensis (Chinese mitten crab), 850 nucleotides long. RefSeq lists it as uncharacterized. The record is from RefSeq and is a predicted model, not a curated record. The transcript is spliced from 3 exons. NCBI's taxonomy places the organism in Eukaryota, Metazoa, Arthropoda, Malacostraca, Decapoda, Varunidae.